Molecule: unclassified non-coding RNA, 331 nt
Filed under: soil metagenome
Description: partial contains 5.8S ribosomal RNA, internal transcribed spacer 2, and large subunit ribosomal RNA
Rfam family: 5.8S ribosomal RNA (bases 1-120)
Source: RNAcentral
GAUGAAGAACGUAGCGAAAUGCGAUAAGUAAUGUGAAUUGCAGAAUUCAGUGAAUCAUCGAAUCUUUGAACGCACAUUGCGCCCCCUGGUAUUCCGGGGGGCAUGCCUGUUCGAGCGUCAUUUCACCACUCAAGCCUCGCUUGGUAUUGGGCAACGCGGUCCGCCGCGUGCCUCAAAUCGACCGGCUGGGUCUUCUGUCCCCUAAGCGUUGUGGAAACUAUUCGCUAAAGGGUGUUCGGGAGGCUACGCCGUAAAACAACCCCAUUUCUAAGGUUGACCUCGGAUCAGGUAGGGAUACCCGCUGAACUUAAGCAUAUCAAUAAGCGAAGGA